AGCUGAUUUGGUGCUCAAGGAGGAGAGUAGUGCGCCAGUCCAGUCCAGCGGACACAGUCGUUAUCUCUGCUACAGGGUGACCGAGCAUCUUUUGGACCCGCUGCUCUGCCAACAUCAUGCUGGACGUCCUGAUGUUGAUGUUUUUCGCCAUCAUCGGUCUUAUGUUCCUGUCCUACAUCAUCUACAUGCUGUGAUCACGGCAGCAUCGAUGGACCGUCGUGAGAGCGGAUGCGUGAUUGAUUCACGUCCUCGGGAGGGGUUUGAGCGGAAAGGAUGAAACUGUUUGUGGGAUCAUGAGAGGAGGAGCACUGGAGGAGGACGCAGGACACACUUACAAGAUCCACCUACACCACACUUGAUUUUCUUCCCUUUUAUUCAGAAGACACUAUGAUUCAAAUAUAUAUUUUUCUUAAAUGUACAGGCCCUGGCUGAUGCAGUACCACAGAACCAUAAGAUCUAAUGGCUGUCUGGCUAUUACUAUUUUUAUUUUCUAUUCUUCUGUGCAGAAUUUCAGCAGAUACCUACUUACAAACCCCCAGUAUAAUUGACACUGUAAUCAAAUGCAUGUAGUUUUUGUCAUAAAUGACUGAUUUAAAAAAAAUAAAGAGCAUUUGUGAAG
Carassius carassius (crucian carp) is the source of this 619-nucleotide long non-coding RNA. RefSeq lists it as uncharacterized. The transcript has 3 exons. The record is from RefSeq and is a predicted model, not a curated record. NCBI's taxonomy places the organism in Eukaryota, Metazoa, Chordata, Actinopteri, Cypriniformes, Cyprinidae.